RNAcentral lists this transfer RNA (67 nucleotides) under Contacyphon sp. BT0012. RNAcentral's name for it is "tRNA-Ser". The record is from RNAcentral. Lineage: Eukaryota; Metazoa; Arthropoda; Insecta; Coleoptera; Scirtidae.
GAAAUAAGUUUAUACAAGAAGAAGCUUCUAACUUCAAUCUUAAGCGAAUAAGAUCGUUUUUAUUUCU